Molecule: ribosomal RNA, 1004 nt
Filed under: Aquifex sp. Aq-365-85-1%O2
Lineage: Bacteria; Pseudomonadati; Aquificota; Aquificia; Aquificales; Aquificaceae
Description: bacterial SSU rRNA
Rfam family: Bacterial small subunit ribosomal RNA
Source: RNAcentral
CCUACCCCCAGGAGGGGGGAUAACCCCGGGAAACCGGGGCUAAUACCCCAUAAUGCCACCCGCCACUAAGGCGUGGUGGCCAAAGGGGGCCUCUGGCCUUUGGCCAUGCUCCCGCCUGGGGAUGGGCCCGCGGCCCAUCAGGUAGUUGGUGGGGUAACGGCCCACCAAGCCUAUGACGGGUAGCCGGCCUGAGAGGGUGGCCGGCCACAGCGGGACUGAGACACGGCCCGCACCCCUACGGGGGGCAGCAGUGGGGAAUCGUGGGCAAUGGGCGAAAGCCUGACCCCGCGACGCCGCGUGGGGGAAGAAGCCCUGCGGGGUGUAAACCCCUGUCGGGGGGGACGAAGCGGCUAUGGGUUAAUAGCCCAUAGUCGUGACGGUACCCCCAGAGGAAGGGACGGCUAACUACGUGCCAGCAGCCGCGGUAAUACGUAGGUCCCGAGCGUUGCGCGAAGUCACUGGGCGUAAAGCGUCCGCAGCCGGUCGGGUAAGCGGGAUGUCAAAGCCCACGGCUCAACCGUGGAAUGGCAUCCCGAACUGCCCGACUUGAGGCACGCCCGGGCAGGCGGAAUUCCCGGGGUAGCGGUGAAAUGCGUAGAUCUCGGGAGGAACACCGAAGGGGAAGCCAGCCUGCUGGGGCUGUCCUGACGGUCAGGGACGAAAGCCGGGGGAGCAAACCGGAUUAGAUACCCGGGUAGUCCCGGCCGUAAACCAUGGGCGCUAGGGCUUGUCCCUUUGGGGCAGGCUCGCAGCUAACGCGUUAAGCGCCCCGCCUGGGGAGUACGGGCGCAAGCCUGAAACUCAAAGGAAUUGGCGGGGGCCCGCACAACCGGUGGAGCGUCUGGUUCAAUUCGAUGCUAACCGAAGAACCUUACCCGGGCUUGACAUGCUGGGGAGACUCCGCGAAAGCGGAGUUGUGGAAGUCCCUAGGACUUCCCCCCAGCACAGGUGGUGCAUGGCCGUCGUCAGCUCGUGUCGUGAGAUGUUGGGUUAAGUCCCGCAAC